Molecule: ribosomal RNA, 998 nt
Filed under: uncultured Escherichia sp.
Lineage: Bacteria; Pseudomonadati; Pseudomonadota; Gammaproteobacteria; Enterobacterales; Enterobacteriaceae
Description: bacterial SSU rRNA
Rfam family: Bacterial small subunit ribosomal RNA
Source: RNAcentral
UGUGCCAGCAGCCGCGGUGAUACGGAGGGGGAAGCGUUAAUCGGAAUUACUGGGCGUAAAGCGCACGCAGGCGGUUUGUUAAGUCAGAUGUGAAAUCCCCGGGCUCAACCUGGGAACUGCAUCUGAUACUGGCAAGCUUGAGUCUCGUAGAGGGGGGUAGAAUUCCAGGUGUAGCGGUGAAAUGCGUAGAGAUCUGGAGGAAUACCGGUGGCGAAGGCGGCCCCCUGGACGAAGACUGACGCUCAGGUGCGAAAGCGUGGGGAGCAAACAGGAUUAGAUACCCUGGUAGUCCACGCCGUAAACGAUGUCGACUUGGAGGUUGUGCCCUUGAGGCGUGGCUUCCGGAGCUAACGCGUUAAGUCGACCGCCUGGGGAGUACGGCCGCAAGGUUAAAACUCAAAUGAAUUGACGGGGGCCCGCACAAGCGGUGGAGCAUGUGGUUUAAUUCGAUGCAACGCGAAGAACCUUACCUGGUCUUGACAUCCACGGAAGUUUUCAGAGAUGAGAAUGUGCCUUCGGGAACCGUGAGACAGGUGCUGCAUGGCUGUCGUCAGCUCGUGUUGUGAAAUGUUGGGUUAAGUCCCGCAACGAGCGCAACCCUUAUCCUUUGUUGCCAGCGGUCCGGCCGGGAACUCAAAGGAGACUGCCAGUGAUAAAUUGGAGGAAGGUGGGGAUGACGUCAAGUCAUCAUGGCCCUUACGACCAGGGCUACACACGUGCUACAAUGGCGCAUACAAAGAGAAGCGACCUCGCGAGAGCAAGCGGACCUCAUAAAGUGCGUCGUAGUCCGGAUUGGAGUCUGCAACUCGACUCCAUGAAGUCGGAAUCGCUAGUAAUCGUGGAUCAGAAUGCCACGGUGAAUACGUUCCCGGGCCUUGUACACACCGCCCGUCACACCAUGGGAGUGGGUUGCAAAAGAAGUAGGUAGCUUAACCUUCGGGAGGGCGCUUACCACUUUGUGAUUCAUGACUGGGGUGAAGUCGUAACAAGGUAACCGA